GACGAACGCUGGCGGCGUGCUUAACACAUGCAAGUCGAACGGUGAAGGCGGAGCUUGCUCUGCCGGAUCAGUGGCGAACGGGUGAGUAACACGUGGGCAACCUGCCCCUCACUUCGGGAUAACUCCGGGAAACCGGGGCUAAUACCGGAUACGACCUCCUUGGGCAUCCUUGGAGGUGGAAAGUUUUUCGGUGAGGGAUGGGCCCGCGGCCUAUCAGCUUGUUGGUGAGGUAGUGGCUCACCAAGGCGACGACGGGUAGCCGGCCUGAGAGGGCGAACGGCCACACGGGGACUGAGACACGGCCCAGACUCCUACGGGAGGCAGCAGUGGGGAAUAUUGCGCAAUGGGCGCAAGCCUGAUGCAGCAACGCCGCGUGGGGGAUGACGGCCUUCGGGUUGUAAACCUCUUUUAGCAGGGAAGAAGCGAAAGUGACGGUACCUGCAGAAAAAGCACCGGCUAACUACGUGCCAGCCGCCGCCGUAA
RNAcentral lists this ribosomal RNA (483 nucleotides) under uncultured bacterium. RNAcentral's name for it is "partial 16S ribosomal RNA". It matches the Rfam family "Bacterial small subunit ribosomal RNA", at positions 28 to 523 of the family's 1533-position model. The record is from RNAcentral.